UGGUGUUCUUGGCGGGCAAAUGCGG
Molecule: non-coding RNA, 25 nt
Filed under: Mus musculus (house mouse)
Lineage: Eukaryota; Metazoa; Chordata; Mammalia; Rodentia; Muridae
Source: RNAcentral